GGCGUAGCAGCUGGCGCGGCGCGAAGAUUGAAAAUCCUUGUGUCGGUGGUUCGAUUCCGCCCCGGGCCACCA
RNAcentral lists this transfer RNA (72 nucleotides) under Duganella margarita. Its description in RNAcentral is "tRNA-Phe". The record is from RNAcentral. Lineage: Bacteria; Pseudomonadati; Pseudomonadota; Betaproteobacteria; Burkholderiales; Oxalobacteraceae.